Molecule: ribosomal RNA, 861 nt
Filed under: Cyzicus gifuensis
Lineage: Eukaryota; Metazoa; Arthropoda; Branchiopoda; Diplostraca; Cyzicidae
Description: partial large subunit ribosomal RNA
Source: RNAcentral
GAACCUCGCACCUUCGGGUGUCGCGGAAUGUGGUGUUUAGGAGGACCGUGCGCGUCUGUCCGGUAUCGUCCAAGUCUCCAUGAAUGGGGCCAGCAACCCAGAGAGGGUGUCAGGCCCGUGGGACGAGCCGCGACCGUGUAUUGGGUCUCUCCUUAGAGUCGGGUUGCUUGAGAGUGCAGCCCUAAGCGGGAGGUAAACUCCUUCUAAGGCUAAAUACGGCCACGAGACCGAUAGCGAACAAGUACCGCGAGGGAAAGUUGAAAAGAACUUUGAAGAGAGAGUUCAAUAGUGCGUGAAACCGUUCAGGGGGUUAAACGGGUGGGCCCUCGAAGGUCGAACGCUCCCUACUCCUGUUCCUGUAGGCUGGCACGUGCUGCUUUCCGAUCUCGCUACGAGACGGGGCUUGGUGCGGUAUGCCGGACUGCAGGGGCCGUUAGUUAGGGGGCCAGUAGGACUCCGCAACCGUCUGGGUUUUAAGUCGUCAGAAGGGUUCUGGAGGAAGCCUCCUCUGGGGGUGAAAUCCGGGAUUCCGGGCGAUCUUCCCGGCCGUGAACCAGAAUUCCCCCGUCUGGCGUCUGGGACGAGUUUGURCUGCGUUAAAAACAGUACGAGCUGUCGGUUCUGGGCGUCACCGUGGGGACACCGCGGAGAGUAGAGUCGGGUCCCACCCGACCCGUCUUGAAACACGGACCAAGGAGUCUAACAUGUGCGCGAGUCGUCGGGUACUAUUAAACCCGAAGGCGCAAUGAAAGUGAAGACUGUGCCUCGUCGCCGGUCUAGGGGAGAUCCCGUUCUGCUUCGGUAGCUCGGGCGCAUCCCCGGGGCGUCGAAGCCGCGUUGCCGGCUAGACGAACCAAGAGC